This 468-nucleotide ribosomal RNA is filed under the name uncultured bacterium. RNAcentral describes it as "partial 16S ribosomal RNA". It matches the Rfam family "Bacterial small subunit ribosomal RNA", at positions 28 to 507 of the family's 1533-position model. The record is from RNAcentral.
GACGAACGCUGGCGGCGUGCUUAACACGUGCAAGUCGAACGGAAAGGCCCUGCUUUUGUGGGGUGCUCGAGUGGCGAACGGGUGAGUAACACGUGAGUAACCUGCCCUUGACUUUGGGAUAACUUCAGGAAACUGGGGCUAAUACCGGAUAGGAGCUCCUGCUGCAUGGUGGGGGUUGGAAAGUUUCGGCGGUUGGGGAUGGACUCGCGGCUUAUCAGCUUGUUGGUGGGGUAGUGGCUUACCAAGGCUUUGACGGGUAGCCGGCCUGAGAGGGUGACCGGCCACAUUGGGACUGAGAUACGGCCCAGACUCCUACGGGAGGCGGCAGUGGGGAAUAUUGCACAAUGGGCGGAAGCCUGAUGCAGCAACGCCGCGUGCGGGAUGACGGCCUUCGGGUUGUAAACCGCUUUCGCCUGUGACGAAGCGUGAGUGACGGUAAUGGGUAAAGAAGCACCGGCUAACUACGUG